Molecule: transfer RNA, 74 nt
Filed under: Lactobacillus helveticus
Lineage: Bacteria; Bacillati; Bacillota; Bacilli; Lactobacillales; Lactobacillaceae
Description: tRNA-Pro
Rfam family: tRNA
About the family: Transfer RNA (tRNA) molecules are approximately 80 nucleotides in length. Their secondary structure includes four short double-helical elements and three loops (D, anti-codon, and T loops). Further hydrogen bonds mediate the characteristic L-shaped molecular structure. tRNAs have two regions of fundamental functional importance: the anti-codon, which is responsible for specific mRNA codon recognition, and the 3' end, to which the tRNAs corresponding amino acid is attached (by aminoacyl-tRNA synthetases). tRNAs cope with the degeneracy of the genetic code in two manners: having more than one tRNA (with a specific anti-codon) for a particular amino acid; and 'wobble' base-pairing, i.e. permitting non-standard base-pairing at the 3rd anti-codon position.
Source: RNAcentral
CGGGAAAUGGCUCAGUUUGGUAGAGCGUUGCGUUCGGGACGCAGAGGUCGCAAGUUCAAAUCUUGUUUUCCCGA